UGAGUGAUGAAGGCCCUAGGGUUGUAAAGCUCUUUCACCGGUGAAGAUAAUGACGGUACCUGAAGAAUAAGCACCGGCUAACUACGUGCCAGCAGCCGCGGUAAUACGUAGGGUGCAAGCGUUAAUCGGAAUUACUGGGCGUAAAGCGCACGUAGGCGGUUAGUUAAGCUAGCUGUGAAAUCCCCGGGCUUAACCUGGGAAUUGCAGUUAGAACUGGCUAGCUAGAGUAUGGUAGAGGGGUGUGGAAUUUCAGGUGUAGCGGUGAAAUGCGUAGAUAUCUGAAGGAACACCAGUGGCGAAGGCGACACCCUGGACCAAUACUGACGCUGAGGUGCGAAAGCGUGGGGAGCAAACAGGAUUAGAUACCCUGUAGUCCACGCCGUAAACGA
Molecule: ribosomal RNA, 389 nt
Filed under: uncultured bacterium
Lineage: Bacteria
Description: bacterial SSU rRNA
Rfam family: Bacterial small subunit ribosomal RNA
Source: RNAcentral